Long non-coding RNA from Toxotes jaculatrix (banded archerfish), 315 nucleotides. RefSeq lists it as uncharacterized. The record is from RefSeq and is a predicted model, not a curated record. The transcript is spliced from 3 exons. Lineage: Eukaryota; Metazoa; Chordata; Actinopteri; Toxotidae.
CGACCCGCCCACAUGCAGCAGCAGAAGAACGAGACGUUUACUCGUUGUCACCUGUACUGGAUCAGUGCUAUUUAUUCGGAUUUGUGUGGACUCUUUGAGGGCUACAUACAACGCGCAACACAUAUCCACUGGGAGGAGCAGUUCAUGGAGUAGCUAAGCUCUUGGUGGAACUGAGUCAAGCACAGACUUCUUCAGUUCCUGGAUCUGCCUCCAACUGCUGGGCACCUGAUGAGCUGAAGUCAGUUCUGUUAUGUCAAAUGCUGAGGUCAAAGGCCCUUUAUUGUGUUUUAUUGUGUAUUAUUAUGUCAAAUGUUU